GGAGGGUGCUCGUUGCUGCAAUGACAGGGACCGGUAGAAAAUUGUUGUUGUCAACUGCUUGGAUACUUCGGAGUCAUCAUCACCAUGGAGUCGUCAAACCAGAGAAGACAGAUCCACAGCAAGGCCACACUUUUCUGCUUUGACAACUCCAAAGGGGCAGCCCUAUCUGGUUCUGCACAUCAAUUGCACGUUGAGACUUCAAACCAUCAUACUUGGUCGGCUGUACACACAAUUCAUGUGUCUCCAAGAAGAAACUCUAGCACAACUUUCACCUGCUGAGAUGGAAGAAGCAGCCUUCGCUACUUCAUUCUUCUUCUGCAACAGCUGUCUCUACCAACCGUCUUCAGCUUCUUCUUGCCCUUCUGCAAGAAUUGCCAAGCACCUUCCUUCUAUUUUUUUCUUCUUGAAGAAGAUAGAUUGAAGGUCGACGAUGAGGGCAAUUUUGGAGCUGAGAAGUCUACUCAAGAGGUCCUGUCUCACCUGGUGUUGUGCUUCAGUGGCUAAUUGGGACUGCAAGUCUUGAAACCACCUUCCCAGGCCUGCUGUGGUUUCGAUUCUUCGUUCGGACGUUUCACCCUUGGCUGCCUGACCAACUACCGUGUGACAUCCAGAUGUCAUUCGAGCUACUUUCUUCCUCUUCAAUCCAUGGCAACACUUUGGAUCAUCUGCAUUUGUCUGGAUUCAUUUCAGGAGCAAGAGCCGCGCACGCUACGCCCCGUCGGGGUAGACAGCCAGACGGAGCUUGACAGGCUGCUCAAGGAAUUCUCAGUCAGCAACGCGUUCAGUGGACUUCGCUCGCGCUCUGGAUGUACAGCCAGGCAGGAGAAGGACGAGGGCGGGGACGAUGCAGAAA
Thrips palmi is the source of this 853-nucleotide long non-coding RNA. RefSeq lists it as uncharacterized. The record is from RefSeq and is a predicted model, not a curated record. The transcript is spliced from 6 exons. Lineage: Eukaryota; Metazoa; Arthropoda; Insecta; Thysanoptera; Thripidae.